RNAcentral lists this ribosomal RNA (274 nucleotides) under uncultured cyanobacterium. RNAcentral's name for it is "partial 16S ribosomal RNA". It matches the Rfam family "Bacterial small subunit ribosomal RNA", at positions 429 to 720 of the family's 1533-position model. Lineage: Bacteria; Bacillati; Cyanobacteriota. The record is from RNAcentral.
ACCUCUUUUUUCAGGGAAGAUAAUGACGGUACCUGAAGAAUAAGCAUCGGCUAACUCCGUGCCAGCAGCCGCGGUAAGACGGAGGAUGCAAGCGUUAUCCGGAAUUAUUGGGCGUAAAGCGUACGCAGGUGGCAUAUCAAGUCCUUUGUUAAAGCGCGAGGCUCAACCUCGUAAAGGCAGAGGAAACUGGUAAGCUAGAGUAUGGUAGGGGCAGGAGGAAUUCCCAGUGUAGCGGUGAAAUGCGUAGAUAUUGGGAAGAACACCAACGGCGAAA